RNAcentral lists this ribosomal RNA (502 nucleotides) under uncultured bacterium. RNAcentral's name for it is "partial 16S ribosomal RNA". It matches the Rfam family "Bacterial small subunit ribosomal RNA", at positions 30 to 523 of the family's 1533-position model. The record is from RNAcentral.
AUUGAACGCUGGCGGCAGGCUUAACACAUGCAAGUCGAGCGGGGUGAUGGUGCUUGCACUAUCACUUAGCGGCGGACGGGUGAGUAAUGCUUAGGAAUCUGCCUAUUAGUGGGGGACAACAUCUCGAAAGGGAUGCUAAUACCGCAUACGUCCUACGGGAGAAAGCAGGGGAUCACUUGUGACCUUGCGCUAAUAGAUGAGCCUAAGUCGGAUUAGCUAGUUGGUGGGGUAAAGGCCUACCAAGGCGACGAUCUGUAGCGGGUCUGAGAGGAUGAUCCGCCACACGGGGACUGAGACACGGCCCAGGCUCCUACGGGAGGCAGCAGUGGGGAAUCUUGGACAAUGGGGGCAACCCUGAUCCAGCGAUGCCGCGUGUGUGAAGAAGGCCUUAGGGUUGUAAAGCACUUUAAUGAGGGAGGAGUAGGGUAUUUUUAAUAGAGAUGCCUGAGGACGUUACUCGCAGAAUAAGCACCGGCUAACUCUGUGCCAGCCGCCGCCGUAA